This 31-nucleotide non-coding RNA is filed under the name Rattus norvegicus (Norway rat). The record is from RNAcentral. Lineage: Eukaryota; Metazoa; Chordata; Mammalia; Rodentia; Muridae.
UGAUGUUCUUAAGUUUCCAGUUCGCCUAGCC